AAAUUGUUUUUAAAAAUAGAAAGAAAGUGAGAGCAAAUUAAUAAAACUAAGUGAAAUAUAAUUGAGGCGGGGAUUGGAGUCAACAAUUUAUUGACUAUACACGGCGAAAUAUGCACAUAUAGAAAUUUGAAUUGUGGGCGGAAACAUUCGGGGGAAGUUAUUCCUGCUUUUCCGGCAUCGAAAAGUAAAGGGUUUUCUUCAAUGACAUCAACUUAACCCAAAUAACAGCAUUGCAGCAAAUUCCAAGGCAAAUUCGCAAUGCCAUAUUAUAUAAUAUGAACGAUAAUAUGAAUACCUGAAACACCCUGAAACUAAAGCCCCAAACGCAAUACAACGGAACGGCGACGGAAACGGAAAAUUUGACAGUUAGCCCAUAUAUUUUCUGUCAAAUUUGCCGUUUCCGUCACCGUUCCGUUAUAUUGCGUUUGGGG
Long non-coding RNA from Armigeres subalbatus, 431 nucleotides. RefSeq lists it as uncharacterized. NCBI's taxonomy places the organism in Eukaryota, Metazoa, Arthropoda, Insecta, Diptera, Culicidae. The record is from RefSeq and is a predicted model, not a curated record. The transcript is spliced from 3 exons.